CAAAUGAAUUGACGGGGACCCGGCACAAGCGGUGGAUGAUGUGGUUUAAUUCGAUGCAACGCGAAAACCUUACCACCUUUGACAUGUACGGAAGCCUUUAGAGAUAGAGGCGUGCUCGAAAGAGAGCCGUAACACAGGUGCUGCAUGGCUGUCGUCAGCUCGUGUCGUGAGAUGUUGGGUUAAGUCCCGCAACGAGCGCAACCCUUGUCAUUAGUUGCUACAUUCAGUUGGGCACUCUAAUGAGACUGCCGGUGACAAGCCGGAGGAAGGUGGGGAUGACGUCAAGUCCUCAUGGCCCUUAUAGGUGGGGCUACACACGUCAUACAAUGGCUGGUACAAAGGGUUGCCAACCCGCGAGGGGGAGCCAAUCCCAUAAAGCCAGUCGUAGUCCGGAUCGUAGUCUGCAACUCGACUACGUGAAGUCGGAAUCGCUAGUAAUCGUGGAUCAGAAUGUCACGGUGAAUACGUUCCCGGGUCUU
This 479-nucleotide ribosomal RNA is filed under the name uncultured Rhodoferax sp. Its description in RNAcentral is "bacterial SSU rRNA". It matches the Rfam family "Bacterial small subunit ribosomal RNA", at positions 902 to 1382 of the family's 1533-position model. Lineage: Bacteria; Pseudomonadati; Pseudomonadota; Betaproteobacteria; Burkholderiales; Comamonadaceae. The record is from RNAcentral.